This 542-nucleotide ribosomal RNA is filed under the name Micrococcus sp. sed060-1. Its description in RNAcentral is "bacterial SSU rRNA". It matches the Rfam family "Bacterial small subunit ribosomal RNA", at positions 88 to 644 of the family's 1533-position model. The record is from RNAcentral. Lineage: Bacteria; Bacillati; Actinomycetota; Actinomycetes; Micrococcales; Micrococcaceae.
UGGAUUAGUGGCGAACGGGUGAGUAACACGUGAGUAACCUGCCCUUAACUCUGGGAUAAGCCUGGGAAACUGGGUCUAAUACCGGAUAGGAGCGCCUACCGCAUGGUGGGUGUUGGAAAGAUUUAUCGGUUUUGGAUGGACUCGCGGCCUAUCAGCUUGUUGGUGAGGUAAUGGCUCACCAAGGCGACGACGGGUAGCCGGCCUGAGAGGGUGACCGGCCACACUGGGACUGAGACACGGCCCAGACUCCUACGGGAGGCAGCAGUGGGGAAUAUUGCACAAUGGGCGCAAGCCUGAUGCAGCGACGCCGCGUGAGGGAUGACGGCCUUCGGGUUGUAAACCUCUUUCAGUAGGGAAGAAGCGAAAGUGACGGUACCUGCAGAAGAAGCACCGGCUAACUACGUGCCAGCAGCCGCGGUAAUACGUAGGGUGCGAGCGUUAUCCGGAAUUAUUGGGCGUAAAGAGCUCGUAGGCGGUUUGUCGCGUCUGUCGUGAAAGUCCGGGGCUUAACCCCGGAUCUGCGGUGGGUACGGGCAGACUAG